This 82-nucleotide microRNA precursor is filed under the name Cricetulus griseus (Chinese hamster). Its description in RNAcentral is "miRNA (ENSCGRG00001007731.1)". It matches the Rfam family "mir-1247 microRNA precursor family". Lineage: Eukaryota; Metazoa; Chordata; Mammalia; Rodentia; Cricetidae. The record is from RNAcentral.
CGGCCGCCGGGCGCACCCGUCCCGUUCGUCCCCGGACGUUGCUCUCUGCCCCGGGAACGUCGAGACUGGAGCGCCCGAGCUG